GGCCGUUUAGCUCAGCUGGCUAGAGCGUGGUGCUAAUAACGCCAAGGUCCUGGGUUCGAUCCCCAUACUGGCCA
RNAcentral lists this transfer RNA (74 nucleotides) under Petromyzon marinus (sea lamprey). RNAcentral describes it as "tRNA-Ile (AAT) (tRNA-Ile-AAT-44-1, tRNA-Ile-AAT-44-2)". It matches the Rfam family "tRNA". From Rfam's summary of the family: Transfer RNA (tRNA) molecules are approximately 80 nucleotides in length. Their secondary structure includes four short double-helical elements and three loops (D, anti-codon, and T loops). Further hydrogen bonds mediate the characteristic L-shaped molecular structure. tRNAs have two regions of fundamental functional importance: the anti-codon, which is responsible for specific mRNA codon recognition, and the 3' end, to which the tRNAs corresponding amino acid is attached (by aminoacyl-tRNA synthetases). tRNAs cope with the degeneracy of the genetic code in two manners: having more than one tRNA (with a specific anti-codon) for a particular amino acid; and 'wobble' base-pairing, i.e. permitting non-standard base-pairing at the 3rd anti-codon position. Lineage: Eukaryota; Metazoa; Chordata; Hyperoartia; Petromyzontiformes; Petromyzontidae. The record is from RNAcentral.